CAACCGUUUCCAUUCCCGCGAAUGCGGAUAACUUUAACCAGUCGACAGCUGAAAUUCCUCAUCUACCCCUGGUGGGGCCAAACUUUUUUCACAAGACCCCACAUGACCUGAUUUUAAUCAGAAGCGUUGGAUUCUCGAAACGAGAUCCUUGCCGUCCGAUCUUCCCCAACAAAAUUAUCAUAAACUUGUUCAGACUUCCAUUCUCUAGGGUCUGUUUUUUCGGCUAUCUGCUCUUCUUUGAUCCAUCAUCUAGGCCACCCAGAGCAGCUAAAAUGAAAGAUUUAUUAUGGAGAGUAGGGCAAAGGAAUAUGAGGUGUGAACAGACAUUGAAAUCAUCACUUGGCCUUACUGCUCUUAUUAUGUCUUCUUGAAAAGAACUUCAUCUUCUGUAACAUCAUGCAGGUUAUUGUAAGAGGAAAUUAAGCUUAGGACUCAGCGUCCAUGAACCAUCAACUCUUAAGGAUGGUUCAUGCACGAUUUCAUCUGGUCAUCGUCUUCCUGUUAAAAUAAGGACCAGUUUCUCUCUUUUCUUUAAUGAACGUUUUGUUCAAUUUUUCAACUUUUUAUAUUGCUUGUUCUCUUUUAAUUGGUUUCUUACUCUAUUUCUUAUGUUAUCUUUGUAAAGUGUUCUUGGUAUCUCGGUGAAGAUCAUAUAUACUUGAUUAUUGGGAUGAUGGGAUCCCAAGGGUAAGCAAGUACCUGCUACUUUGCUACCAGAUUGUAUCAUCGUCCACCUGCUCAAGGGGGAAGAAGAUUACCCCAUGUGACCGCAUUGCUGCCGACUCACAUAGGGGUUACCAGCAGCUUAAGUUGUAGGUUUUUUGAGGUUAGCGAGCACAAAGGAAACAAAGAUGCAGGAUGGUGGUGUUUUCCUCUAGAAUCCGAAAGGGUGUUGAAGCCGGCCCUUCAAGUCUAGUGGCAUUGCUGGAUGAAUAGAUGUAAAGAGUGUACUGUCUGUCUUUUGUUCAAUAAUUAAAGUUCUUUGAUUGAUAUGCUUACUUGAAGAAUUUGGCGUUUCAUUUUAUGUUGUU
Theobroma umbraticum is the source of this 1031-nucleotide long non-coding RNA. RefSeq lists it as uncharacterized. The record is from RefSeq and is a predicted model, not a curated record. Lineage: Eukaryota; Viridiplantae; Streptophyta; Magnoliopsida; Malvales; Malvaceae.